GACGAACGCUGGCGGCGUGCUUAACACAUGCAAGUCGAACGGAAAGGCCCUGCUUUUGUGGGGUGCUCGAGUGGCGAACGGGUGAGUAACACGUGAGUAACCUGCCCUUGACUUUGGGAUAACUUCAGGAAACUGGGGCUAAUACAGGAUAGGAGCUCCUGCUGGAUGGAGGGGGUUGGAAAGUUUCGGCGGGUGGGGAUGGACUCGCGGCUGAUGAGCUUGUUGGUGGGGUAGUGGCUUACCAAGGCUUUGGCGGGUAGCCGGCCUGAGAGGGUGACCGGCCUCAUUGGGCCUGAGGUACGGCCCAGACUCCUACGGGAGGCAGCAGUGGGGAAUAUUGCCCAAUGGGCGGAAGCCUGAUGCAGCAACGCCGCGUUCGGGAUGACGGCCUUCGGGUUGUAAACCGCUUUCGCCUGUGACGAAGCGUGAGUGACGGUAAUGGGUAAAGAAGCACCGGCUAACUACGUG
RNAcentral lists this ribosomal RNA (468 nucleotides) under uncultured bacterium. RNAcentral describes it as "partial 16S ribosomal RNA". It matches the Rfam family "Bacterial small subunit ribosomal RNA", at positions 28 to 507 of the family's 1533-position model. The record is from RNAcentral.